CCUACGGGAGGCAGCAGUAGGGAAUCUUCCGCAAUGGGCGAAAGCCUGACGGAGCGACGCCGCGUGAGCGAGGAAGGUCUUCGGACUGUAAAGCUCUGUUGUGAGGGAAGAACGCCCUGGAGAGGGAAUGCUCUGGGGGUGACGGUACCUCACGAGGAAGCCCCGGCUAACUACGUGCCAGCAGCCGCGGUAAU
This 194-nucleotide ribosomal RNA is filed under the name uncultured bacterium. Its description in RNAcentral is "partial 16S ribosomal RNA". It matches the Rfam family "Bacterial small subunit ribosomal RNA", at positions 338 to 524 of the family's 1533-position model. The record is from RNAcentral.